This 501-nucleotide ribosomal RNA is filed under the name uncultured bacterium. Its description in RNAcentral is "bacterial SSU rRNA". It matches the Rfam family "Bacterial small subunit ribosomal RNA", at positions 28 to 526 of the family's 1533-position model. The record is from RNAcentral.
GACGAACGCUGGCGGCGUGCCUAAUACAUGCAAGUCGAGCGGUUCCUUCGGGGAUAGCGGCGGACGGGUGAGUAACACGUAGGCAACCUGCCUGCAAGAUCGGGAUAACUACCGGAAACGGUAGCUAAGACCGAAUAGCUGGUUCCCUCGCAUGAGGGAAUCAUGAAACACGGGGCAACCUGUGGCUUGCGGAUGGGCCUGCGGCGCAUUAGCUAGUUGGUAGGGUAACGGCCUACCAAGGCGACGAUGCGUAGCCGACCUGAGAGGGUGAACGGCCACACUGGGACUGAGACACGGCCCAGACUCCUACGGGAGGCAGCAGUAGGGAAUCUUCCGCAAUGGACGAAAGUCUGACGGAGCAACGCCGCGUGAGUGAUGAAGGUUUUCGGAUCGUAAAGCUCUGUUGCCCUAGACGAACGAUAGGAAGAGUAACUGCUUUCUAUGUGACGGUAUAGGAGAAGAAAGCCCCGGCUAACUACGUGCCAGCCGCCGCCGUAAAAC